GUGUGCGAAUGAGAACUUUUGAGACGUGAGAGUCGGAAUCUUCGCGAGUGAGUCAUCGCUUAAACCAGCUCUGAGUCAGUCGCGACACACCACCUGAAACCCCGAUAAAACCACCAUGGAAAUAGUUGGUUGCUGUUUUACAGUUACAGUCUAUCGCCGGCAAGGAUAGGCUACACGGACGCAACACCAUGGGGUCCUCGUGGCCUUUCUCUCUGCAGGAUACAGGUCAGUGUAGGUCCAGCUUUGGGGUCGGCUGGCGUGGCUGAUCAAUUUUGCUUUUAUCGGUUUCUGCUCUUUGAAGAGGGAGAGGGAAAGGGAA
Long non-coding RNA from Penaeus monodon (black tiger shrimp), 319 nucleotides. RefSeq lists it as uncharacterized. NCBI's taxonomy places the organism in Eukaryota, Metazoa, Arthropoda, Malacostraca, Decapoda, Penaeidae. The record is from RefSeq and is a predicted model, not a curated record. The transcript has 3 exons.